GUGGGGAAUUUUGGACAAUGGGCGCAAGCCUGAUCCAGCCAUUCCGCGUGCAGGAUGAAGGCCUUCGGGUUGUAAACUGCUUUUGUACGGAACGAAACGGUCCUGGCUAAUAUCCGGGGCUAAUGACGGUACCGUAAGAAUAAGCACCGGCUAACUACGUGCCAGCAGCCGCGGUAAUACGUAGGGUGCGAGCGUUAAUCGGAAUUACUGGGCGUAAAGCGUGCGCAGGCGGUGCUGUAAGACAGGCGUGAAAUCCCCGGGCUCAACCUGGGAAUUGCGCUUGUGACUGCAAGGCUGGAGUGCGGCAGAGGGGGAUGGAAUUCCGCGUGUAGCAGUGAAAUGCGUAGAUAUGCGGAGGAACACCGAUGGCGAAGGCAAUCCCCUGGGCCUGCACUGACGCUCAUGCACGAAAGCGUGGGGAGCAAACAGGAUUAGAUACCCUGGUAGUCC
This 450-nucleotide ribosomal RNA is filed under the name uncultured bacterium. Its description in RNAcentral is "partial 16S ribosomal RNA". It matches the Rfam family "Bacterial small subunit ribosomal RNA", at positions 354 to 796 of the family's 1533-position model. The record is from RNAcentral.